RNAcentral lists this ribosomal RNA (484 nucleotides) under uncultured bacterium. RNAcentral's name for it is "partial 16S ribosomal RNA". It matches the Rfam family "Bacterial small subunit ribosomal RNA", at positions 30 to 507 of the family's 1533-position model. The record is from RNAcentral.
AUUGAACGCUGGCGGCAGGCCUAACACAUGCCAGUCGAGCGGAUGAAGGGAGCUUGCUCCUGGAUUCAGCGGCGGACGGGUGAGUAAUGCCUAGGAAUCUGCCUGGUAGUGGGGGAUAACGUCCGGAAACGGGCGCUAAUACCGCAUACGUCCUGAGGGAGAAAGUGGGGGAUCUUCGGACCUCACGCUAUCAGAUGAGCCUAGGUCGGAUUAGCUAGUUGGUGGGGUAAAGGCCUACCAAGGCGACGAUCCGUAACUGGUCUGAGAGGAUGAUCAGUCACACUGGAACUGAGACACGGUCCAGACUCCUACGGGAGGCAGCAGUGGGGAAUAUUGGACAAUGGGCGAAAGCCUGAUCCAGCCAUGCCGCGUGUGUGAAGAAGGUCUUCGGAUUGUAAAGCACUUUAAGUUGGGAGGAAAGGCAGUAAGUUAAUACCUUGCUGUUUUGACGUUACCAACAGAAUAAGCACCGGCUAACUUCGUG